Non-coding RNA from Mauremys reevesii (Reeves's turtle), 74 nucleotides. The record is from the annotation of a RefSeq genome assembly. Lineage: Eukaryota; Metazoa; Chordata; Testudines; Geoemydidae.
GCCCCAGUGGCCUAAUGGACAAGGCCACUGGCUUUCUAAGUCAGAGAUUGUGGGUUCAAGUCCCAUCUGGGGUG